UCCUUCUUGGUUUUAUAGCUUCUGCAAACAAGCUUCUCUUACUCUAUGUCUCCACCAAAUGAGGUACUUCUGCAUCUACUUCUGCUCACAGAACUGCCUAGGUGGUCCACCAAGAAGGAAAAUUGUUUACUCUGGUAUCUUCCUAAGAAACUGUACACUUAAAUUGUUUUGUCUUCAAGGAGAUUCAUAGAAAGGACUCUAACAAGUUUCUGAUAACUUUAAGAUUAUACCAUUAAACUAGGUAAAGGAAGAUUUUCAUGAUUCACUGACUGAGGACAAUCAAAUUCUUCACCACGUAGAACCUAGACAUUGGGUCUUUGGAAAGGACAUCAGAGAAAGACUGCCAUUAAGCUCCAUUGGAAGAGACCAUAUCAAGUUCUUUUCUGCAGCAAACCAUCAGGCUCUCAAGUCUUGGAUCUAUGUCUCUCAACUCAAAAGAGCUCCUCCAGACUCCUGGAACUGUAUACCUAUUGGAGACUCUAAGGUAAAGCUCACCAGGGAAGAUUUCCCCCAGGAGCAGUUGGCAUCCUAGACUUCAACAGCUUUCGUAAGAUUGUGGAUCAAGACUUCUCUGCCAUCAUGAAAGUCUUAUCUUUUCCCUUUCUUCCCAAUUUCCUGCUGUCCCAGUCCCUUUCUUUUACUUAUAGGAAAAUCCAUGGGGCCAUAAUCUGUGGAUGGCUUUAGCUAAGUCUUAUGCUGUAGUGAAAAAACAGAGCAAUUGUUGGGUUUAUGAAGAUAAGCUAGUUUCUACUGAGGAAAGAUUCCAGUGGCAUUCCUGGGGGCUCAGUCUUGGUACUAGCAGGGUACUGGUAGUAUGGAAUUUGAAAGUAAUCCAUAAAAUGAGAAAAAUCUUGGGUUUGACCAACCAGUCCCCACAGAGGUUCAGGUGAGUAGAAGUCAUCUUUUGAAAACACUUAAUAAAACAUCAUGCAGUUUUGGAUCCUGUUUCCUUAGACACUGCCACCAAAUACAUAAAGGAAAUUUCUCAGAGGCAGCAAACCAUUGGUUUGCAGGUAGGCUUGGCUUUUCCAAGGUGUUCUAACCUUUAUGCUCUUCUAAUGGUUCUCCAGAUUACUAUGACUUGUGUUAACAAGAUAAUGACAACAUUGGAUACCUCUUUAAAUCAGCAAACUGCAGUUCUUAAUCAUUAUCACCUCCUGAACAAAAACCAUGACCAACGGUACUCAAAUGCUUUUGAGCUGCCUGUAAGGGAGGAGACCACCCCUCAUAUUGUCUUAUGCCCAAUUUCUGCCUCCAAAUAAAGAAG
RNAcentral lists this long non-coding RNA (1267 nucleotides) under Homo sapiens (human). RNAcentral describes it as "non-protein coding LINC02389:25". The record is from RNAcentral. Lineage: Eukaryota; Metazoa; Chordata; Mammalia; Primates; Hominidae.